GGCUUGUGAGGAGAAAGACAAUCAAUCAGUUUUUUCUCUAAUAACAGUCACCCAAAUGACUUCUUCUGUAGCAUUUGUUGAAUUUUUCUUGAAAACUGAACUGUCCUAACUUGCCUAUACGUUUUUUUUUAAGAUGUUAAAUUCCAGCUCCUCUUAAAUCAUCUUGACAUCUGUUCUUCAAAAAGUUUCACUGUCAGUGAAGUGUAUGAAUUCAUUUUUGUACCAUCUCAAAACUUCCAUUUUUAGCCAGGGUUCUGGAAACCUUAGUCAAGACUUGACUACAUAAUCAUCGACAGCUGAAGUCACCCGACAUUAGCAAUUUCAAUCUUGGUUUCCUAACUGCCCUCACGGAGAGAUUGUUCAACUUACAAAUUAAUAUGUGCAGCUGCAGAAUAUAUUAUCAGACCAGAGUGUCAGCUCACAGGUACACAAGACAGAGGUGCACAUACUGCAAAAUGAGCCUGAAUAGUUGUGACACCAGAUAGUAUUUUAGUCCACCUUGUUAUCUGGAAAGCACAGGUAUUGUUUCUUUAAAAAAAUAAAUGUUUUGGGUGACUUGAGCCAGACAUUCCCAUGAAAGGAAAUUUGAUUGUUAAGCUUCAGAGGAGUCCAUGGACAUAGUCUUUGGAGAACUCAGUUUCUCCUAAGUUCCUGAGAAGGGUACCUUAAGUGUUUGUUUUCUCUUUAGUUGGCCAGUGGGAGAAGACAAAGCUUUGGGACUUCUAGUGCUUCUCAUGCCCAAAUUGUUCAAGGAAUUCUUAUAUUUGUGAUGUUCUUCAAUUGUUGAUAGGAAAUGUUGCUGUUGGUUUUUGGUGUGCAAACAUAAAAGAGAGUUUUUAAUAUUAGAUCAAUUUUACACUGUGGUGUGGAAUUUCAAUUUAAUUUUCAUGGGGAUUAUAUAGCACAUGCAUUUGGUUGGACCCCUUCAAGAUUGCUUUGCUUUGGUAUUUCACAAGUUUGUUCUGGUCUCUUUCCUGCUGAAAUAGCCACCAUGCAGAUAAGUAUCAUUUUCCUGGAAUCAGCUGCUGUCUUGGUUUUUAUUAUUUGCCAAGGACAACGAGUCAUUCACUCCUGAAUUCUUAAUCUAAUUCUUCUUGGAUAGUUCUGCGUUCACUACAGUGUUACAAGAGGAUAAAUAUGGAGGUGAAAAGAUGCAACAAAUCAUCCUAGCUCUUUCCAGCUACUGGAAAGUUUAGCAUCAUGGAGUCCUAACCUUAGAGGACAUAUAUCAGACAGCCACCACAACACAGACCCAAAAGAUAUCUGGUAGGCCCCUGAACCAUUUCCAGAGGCAUCAGACCAUUGCUACUUCCUUCUGUUCUCAUCUUGUUUACAGUCCUUGUACCUCUUGUCCUAGCCUGACCUGCCUGCUUUCUCCCACACUGGGGGACAGAUACAAGCUUCUGAAAAGUGCAGGUUACUCAGUUAGGAAAAUGUGUCAGUUUACUCCCAACUUGAGUUGUUAAUUUUCCCCAAUAAAAACCCAAACAAGAUAUGCUUCUGAACCUUCUGAAAUAUUUUUGUUUAACAUGAAUAGCCAUUAAAAGGUAAUCUAGUACAUUUUCAAAUGUUUGAUUGCAUCAGGCUAAUACCUACAAUAUAAAAUUAAAGCACUGUGUUAUUUAUAAAAAGAUUUAGUUCUCAAUAGUAAAAUAUUUAAGCACAAAUCAAAAUAUUUCUUUGAGAACUAAUCUUUUGCAUCCAUUUUAAAAAGUGUUUAUUGCAAUCAUUUAAAAUGGAAUAGGUUAAUGUAUUCACUUUUCACGCCAGAGACUUGGCUUUGAAUUUGACUUAGAGAAAAAUUAGCUUUGAGGCCUCAACCUCCUCUCCACAGGCAUUUGUUGAUAUCACAAAUUGAACCCAACAAGUUGUCACAAUUGUUGCCAUUUACUCAGGAGAUCCAAAAACUAGAAUAACCUUAUUUUCUCAUUGUUUUUUCCUUUCCUUGAGGCCAUACUUUUUUAUUGUAGACUCUUAGCAACCCCAAACUUGGGGCUCACCCACAUUGUCUUCACAGUCCAGGAAAACUCAGGAACCAUUCUUGGCAAAGCUAAUGGAAGGUGCUUUGGUGAUAUAGUUAGUAGGUUUCCAUGGCAACCCAUGUGACUCACAGUGUGACUCAGGGCAGUUAUAAUUUCAGUUGCUGGCAGGGUGUUCCAUUAGGACAGAUGUGAGAAGAAGCCACGCCGAAGUCCUUUUGGUAGGCCUUCAUCCAGAUCCUGUCUGCCCAUUGACAAAUAGGAAAAGGGAUAACCUAGUACUCACAAAGUAACUGGAAGAUUCAUCGCUUAGCUUACCAAGGCUACCAGCUAUCUCAGACAGUGCCAUGGGCUCAGACAGCAAGAGGGCAGGAUGGGAAAGUGCCACUGAGCUAGUCAAACAGAGAAACAAUGGAGAGGAAGAGAGCAAGCGGCAGCAUCGAGCAUUUUGAUUUUUCUAAAAAUGGACCUAUUUGUAUAGCGAGAACUAAUUAAAACUUAUGGCCAUGUGGUUUGUGUUAAAUGUUAAGUGUUUCAAAAUGGUUAAAUGUGUUCUGUGCACUUGAUGGAAAUGGGAUUCUCUACCAACUAAUUGAGGGAAGGGGGAAAACAUGGAAGGGAUUAGUUUUCUAGAAGGAAAAUGAAAAUGAAAAAAAUAUGAUGCCAAUUUACUUUUCUUCCGCAUAGGGGAUUUGAGAAGAUUUAUCUUAGCUUUUCUGGAAGGACACAUAUGCAAAUCAUAGAACCAUGGAAUUUCAAGAUUAGAAAUCCUUUGCAGUGGCCAGUCUAAACUCCUAUCUAUUCUCGGGAUCUACCACCCUGCAUCCGGCUUAUGCGCAAAACCUGUCACAGAGAAUAUUCACUUCUUCAUUUCUUUUCAAGGCAGCCCAUUCUAUUUUUGAGCCAAUCUGGCUUUUAGAAAGUUCUUCUGUCUACUAAGUAGGCAAUCUGUCUUUUUACAGUCUCUACCCAUUGGCCCUAUUCAUGCCUUUCUUAUGCUUUUAAUUAUCUUUAAUAAUUUCACAGUUGGAAAAACGAGCUAAGUUGGGUUAAGUAACUUGUGCGUUAUUUCAUAGCUACUAAAUAGCAGGGCGAGGAUUUAAAUCAAGGUCUGCUAGAACUGCACGUCUCUUGUUCUUUCCAUAUGUCACCCAACCUUUCACUCUAGAGGGAAAAAAAAAGGGGGCAGUCUGCUACCUAGCACAGAGGACACCUAACAGGAAGUGAAGGAGAGGUUGAGAUCAGAGGCGGGAAGGGAGAAUUGGUGAGUGGAGUGAUGGAACAAGGUAAAAGGACACCCCUCUCUGAUCAGGGCUACACUUUCGUAAGCCAGGCCGCUGUGGUUAUCUCAGUGUAACUCACAUCCAGCUAUUGACAGCUUUCCACCUGGUGACAUGCUUAACGGCCCAUGAAAUUCUAGCCCUCAGGGCUCAAACCUGAUAUUUAUGGUUCCCCACAUAAACCUAAAGUGGAUUGUAAAUUUAUCUCUCUCAGAUUUAGGUGGCUAAAGUGGCUGUUCAAAACUCUGCAAGGGAGAGUCGACUUUAUGGACAUGUUGUACUAACUUUUAAAAAGAUUGGGGCUGAAGGAGGGUGCAGAAAGCUGUGUGGUUUGUGGGAAUGCUCCCAGAAGCCCCCUGGAGCGGAAGCCUUUUUGGUAUUGAUGUUAUGGGGGAAGGGCAGUUGGGUAAAGGGAUGUAGAUUGAUUUUGUACCGUAGAAUAGUGGCAUGUUUUGUGUAAUCAAAAAUCUGUUAUAAUGAAAAAACCAUGAAGGUUUGCAAAGGAGCAAUCAAGGGAAGCUGUUCAGCUUCCGCAGGAAACUUUUUCUAAGCUUCAGAGUAUGCCAAGUGGAUAUUGACACAGCUAAGCAUGUAUGUAGCAGGACAUAUGUAAAUAGGAAUACUCUAUGUUGAAAUCUGGACAAACCUUACUGAGACCUUCUCCAGAGGCAAGCAAUGUGUGGUAUUUAUAUGAGAUUUGACACAUCUGGAAACAGCGGCUUUUGCACCAUAAAUUUCACCGGCAAGUUCUGACAUGUACGUUUAAGAGAAAACCUCUUAAUAUGUUUUCCAUGAAAGGAUGGGGACAUAGUAACAACCACCAAAGUGAUAAUAUUUCCUCUGCCUCGUAUCCGCUCCCUAAUCAAAACCCUUCAGUAUUCUACUCCAAAAGUUUCUUUCUCUUUCCACCACUGACAAUAUGCAUUGUUAACGGAAGGGAGUGGUCAGGGGCUGUGUGCCAUAUUGGAAGGGACUCAGACAUUAGAGGCAAAAGGACCAGGGUUUGAAUCUUAGCUUUUCUAUGUAUUUAUUGUAUAACUUUGGGCUUGUUUCUUAAUCUCUAAACCUCAAUUUCCUAAUCCAUCAAAAGCGGAUGAAAAAUACCAACCAAAACAUGGUUAUGAGGAUAAAUGGCAUGAAGAAUUGAAAAGUAAAUAGAUUUAUAAAACAAAAAUAUUGUUUGCAAGGGGUUGGCAUAGUUCCUCCUUUAUUCUGGAAGUUAAUUUGCUUGAAAAUUCAACCAUGUACUAAAUCUUCCUCCCUAGGGACCAACAGAAAAUUGCAAACUCCUUCUGAUUGGAAACCUUCCUGAGGGCUCCGCAAAUUGGUGCUCUCUUCUCCUGGUUUCAUCCCACAGGAAGAGAUAGUCUCCCUAUAUGAAUGUUCACACCAUGAGAAACCUUUCUCACCCUCUCUCCGUGGAAUGUCUCUCCCCAGUUUUUGAGAUAUCCUCGACUCAAGGCCAAAGCAGUGGUUUGAAAGGUGUUUGGAAACCAAUGUGAACCAGCGUGCUUUCCCCUCCCCCACUCUGGGGGUGGGAUUUUCAGGCCAACUUUUCUGAAGCUGCUUGUGAGUUAACCUGAAGUUGGAAUGCCCUCCUGAGGUUGAGGCAUAAAAGCCAGCAGCGUAAAUAGAAACUGAAGCUGAAAUAACCAUAAAUGUUCUCGAACAACUUCAAUAGAGAAAGCCUUGUUUGAUCCUCUCUAAGCUUCCUGAAACCAAGCUGAAUAUUUGUUUGUUUUGUGGUAGCUCAACUUUUUUUUUUUUUUCUCAGGCCUUUUAGUGCAUGGCUGUUGGUUUCUCUGUGUAAAAGGAAAAUGCUUUUUCUCAGUAACGAUGUUCACAUUCUGAAGUUGGUGAUACCCACUUCUAAAGGCCAUUUUAUAGUAAAGAUAAAGUUCUGCCAAGUCUUAGGAUGAACAGAUAAAGGAUGUGGUCAGUUACCAUGACUCGUGCUUACCUCCCAAAGUGUGUCAUUUGGUGCACAUACCUCAAAACGUGUGAACAGAAAGUUUCUAGUUUAUUUUUAUACAUGGAGAUUUGAUUCCACGGCAGAGGGAGGGUGUCAAGGUAAAUGACUGUGCAAAAAUGACAGAACUGCAUUUUGAGCUUUCGGUUGCCAGAGAUACAAAGGCCAAGUUAAGCCAUGAACACAAGGGGAAAGUGCCAGGUGUCAGGAGCAAGAAUCUUAUAUGCCGGGGAUUGUUUUUUUUUCCUGGAAGCAACUGGAAACCAACUUAGUGACACUUAAGUCCUUCACCUGCUACAUGACUGCAGCCAGUGUAUGUGAGUCAGAGUGGUACCAAGAAGGGCCCUCAUCUGAACAGCCGCAAAAGUGACGGGCUCUGGCUUGGAAUGGGAAUAUUAUACUAUGUUCAGAGUCAUGGCAACUUGAACUUGGCAGCCUUAUCGGCUUCUGAGAUUAUGAGUGCCCCACAGCCAAGUGCACCUGUGAGGAGAGUUGACUGUGGAGUGGCAUAUAGGUUGAGAAACCUCUUUCGUAGCUGACAAUCUAUGUAAACUCCUUUAAUAUGUGGAUGAUUAAGUAGCAGUUUAAGUGUUGGAAUUACCUGGCCCUGCUUUACCAUCUUCUAUAUAUUCAAUAUAAGACACACUGGGAAU
Symphalangus syndactylus (siamang) is the source of this 5881-nucleotide long non-coding RNA. RefSeq lists it as uncharacterized. The record is from RefSeq and is a predicted model, not a curated record. NCBI's taxonomy places the organism in Eukaryota, Metazoa, Chordata, Mammalia, Primates, Hylobatidae.